This 468-nucleotide ribosomal RNA is filed under the name uncultured bacterium. Its description in RNAcentral is "partial 16S ribosomal RNA". It matches the Rfam family "Bacterial small subunit ribosomal RNA", at positions 28 to 507 of the family's 1533-position model. The record is from RNAcentral.
GACGAACGCUGGCGGCGUGCUUAACACAUGCAAGUCGAACGGAAAGGCCCUGCUUUUGUGGGGUGCUCGAGUGGCGAACGGGUGAGUAACACGUGAGUAACCUGCCCUUGACUUUGGGAUAACUUCAGGAAACUGGGGCUAAUACCGGAUAGGAGCUCCUGCUGCAUGGUGGGGGUUGGAAAGUUUCGGCGGUUGGGGAUGGACUCGCGGCUGAUCAGCUUGUUGGUGGGGUAGUGGCUUACCAAGGCUUUGACGGGUAGCCGGGCUGAGAGGGUGACCGGUCACGAUGGGACUGAGCUACGGCUCAGACUUCUACGGGAGGCAGGAGUGGGGAGUGUUGCAUAAUGGGCGGAAGCCAGAUGCAGCAACGCCGCGUGCGGGAAGUCGGCCAUCGGGUUGUAAACCGCUUUGGCCUGUGACGGGGCGUUAAUGACAGUAACGGGUAAAGAAGCACCGGCUAACUACGUG